RNAcentral lists this small RNA (68 nucleotides) under Nocardia pseudobrasiliensis. Its description in RNAcentral is "ASdes TB sRNA". It matches the Rfam family "ASdes TB sRNA". The record is from Rfam by way of RNAcentral. Lineage: Bacteria; Bacillati; Actinomycetota; Actinomycetes; Mycobacteriales; Nocardiaceae.
AGCGCAACAGGAUCCACCGCGCGCGUAACCACCAGAUAGUCGCGCAGCACGAUGGAAUGCCGGUUCUC